This 626-nucleotide ribosomal RNA is filed under the name Alnicola subconspersa. Its description in RNAcentral is "eukaryotic LSU rRNA". The stretch from base 234 to 387 matches the Rfam family "5.8S ribosomal RNA". Lineage: Eukaryota; Fungi; Basidiomycota; Agaricomycetes; Agaricales; Hymenogastraceae. The record is from RNAcentral.
ACUUGGUGUGGUUGUUGCUGGCCCUCUCGGGGGCAUGUGCACACCCACCAUCCUCAUCUCUCCACCUGUGCACCUCUUGUAGACCUGGAUUGACUUUCCGAGGCAACUCGGUCGGGAAGAUUGCUGCGCUCUGUGAGCCAGCUUUCUUUGCAUGUCCAGGCCUAUGUUUUUCAUAUACCCCUAUAGAAUGUAACAGAAUGUAUCAUUGGGCCUUGUGCCUAUAAACCUUAUACAACUUUCAGCAACGGAUCUCUUGGCUCUCGCAUCGAUGAAGAACGCAGCGAAAUGCGAUAAGUAAUGUGAAUUGCAGAAUUCAGUGAAUCAUCGAAUCUUUGAACGCACCUUGCGCUCCUUGGUAUUCCGAGGAGCAUGCCUGUUUGAGUGUCAUUAAAUUCUCAACCUUAUUAACUUUUGUUGAUAAUGGAUUGGAUUGUGGGGGUUUCUUUUGCUGGCUUCUUCACAGAGAUCAGCUCCCCUUAAAUGCAUUAGCUGGUGCCCCGCGUGGACCAUCUAUUGGUGUGAUAAUUAUCUACGCCGUGGAUGUCUGCAAUUAUAUGGGUUUCGCACUGCUUCUAACCGUCUGUUCAUUCGGACAAUACAUGACAAUUGACCUCAAAUCAGUAGAU